Molecule: transfer RNA, 72 nt
Filed under: Pangasianodon hypophthalmus (striped catfish)
Lineage: Eukaryota; Metazoa; Chordata; Actinopteri; Siluriformes; Pangasiidae
Rfam family: tRNA
About the family: Transfer RNA (tRNA) molecules are approximately 80 nucleotides in length.
Source: Rfam by way of RNAcentral
UCCCUGGAGGACUAGCGGUUAGACCUCGGCGCUCUCACUCCCAUGGCCCGGGUUCGAUUCCCGGCCAGGGAA